Molecule: unclassified non-coding RNA, 345 nt
Filed under: soil metagenome
Description: partial contains 5.8S ribosomal RNA, internal transcribed spacer 2, and large subunit ribosomal RNA
Rfam family: 5.8S ribosomal RNA (bases 1-120)
Source: RNAcentral
GAUGAAGAACGUAGCGAUAUGCGAUAAGUAAUGUGAAUUGCAGAAUUCAGUGAAUCAUCGAGUCUUUGAACGCACAUUGCGCCCCCUGGUAUUCCGGGGGGCAUGCCUGUCCGAGCGUCAUUGCUGCCCUCAAGCACGGCUUGUGUGUUGGGCUCCGCCCCCCUCCCGGGGGGCGGGCCCGAAAGGCAGCGGCGGCACCGCGUCCGGUCCUCGAGCGUAUGGGGCUUUGUCACCCGCUCUGUAGGCCCGGCCGGCGCCCGCCGGCGACCCCAAUCAAUCUUUCCAGGUUGACCUCGGAUCAGGUAGGGAUACCCGCUGAACUUAAGCAUAUCAAUAAGCGGAGGA